GUCCCUUCCGGGACAUCCAAUAAAAUUGGAAUGAUGCAGAGAAGAUUAGCAUGGCCUUGUACCCUAAUAUUAUUCGAAUAAAAAUAUCAACUACUCAU
This 98-nucleotide small nuclear RNA is filed under the name Corchorus olitorius. Lineage: Eukaryota; Viridiplantae; Streptophyta; Magnoliopsida; Malvales; Malvaceae. The record is from RNAcentral.